Molecule: ribosomal RNA, 566 nt
Filed under: Lissocampus caudalis
Lineage: Eukaryota; Metazoa; Chordata; Actinopteri; Syngnathiformes; Syngnathidae
Description: partial 16S ribosomal RNA
Rfam family: Bacterial large subunit ribosomal RNA
Source: RNAcentral
CGCCUCUUGUGUAUCAAUAAUAAGAGGUCCCGCCUGCCCUGUGACUACAUGUUUAACGGCCGCGGUAUUUUGACCGUGCAAAGGUAGCGCAAUCACUUGUCUUUUAAAUAAAGACCUGUAUGAAUGGCAUCACGAGGGUUUAACUGUCUCCUUCCCCCAGUCAAUGAAAUUGAUCUACCCGUGCAGAAGCGGAUAUAACAACAUAAGACGAGAAGACCCUGUGGAGCUUUAGAUAUAUAGCUGACUUUAUAACAUACCCCUAAUAAAGGAAUAAAAAAGUAAUAUUCUACUAAAUGUCUUCGGUUGGGGCGACCGCGGGGUAAAAAUUAACCCCCGUGAGGACUGGGGUAAAACCCUAGAACCAAGAGCAUCAGCUCUAAGUACCAAAAAUUUUGACCUUUGGAUCCGGUAUUACCGAUCAACGAACCAAGUUACCCCAGGGAUAACAGCGCAAUCCCCUUCAAGAGUCCUUAUCGACAAGGGGGUUUACGACCUCGAUGUUGGAUCAGGACAUCCUAAUGGUGCAGCCGCUAUUAAGGGUUCGUUUGUUCAACGAUUAAAGUCCU